CCCCUCUUGGGGUCACAUCAGGAGAGUUCCCAGUACUCUACCGGUCUCGACUAUGGGAGGGAGAAUCAAGCAGAGGCAUACCCAUUCCAUUCCUAGCUUGAGCAGUGGCUAAUGAAUGGAAAGCAAUCUGCUACAAGU
This is a non-coding RNA of Ornithorhynchus anatinus (platypus), 138 nucleotides long. The record is from Rfam. Lineage: Eukaryota; Metazoa; Chordata; Mammalia; Monotremata; Ornithorhynchidae.